CUGUUCAACGGCCGCGGUAUCCUAACCGUGCGAAGGUAGCGUAAUCACUUGUCUUCUAAAUAAAGACUAGUAUGAAAGGCACCACGAGGAUUAAACUGUCUCCCCCCUCUAAUCAGUGAACCUAAUCUCCCCGUGAAGAAGCGGGGAUAACCCUAUAAGACGAGAAGACCCUAUGGAGCUUAAAACAGUACCCACGUGCACAUAAAUUUUCCGUACUAAGGUAUUAUCACUACACCCGCACGCUGACUACAUGUUUUUGGUUGGGGUGACCGCGGAGAACAAACCAUCCUCCACGAUGAAUGGGAACCUCCCUAAAAAACAAGCCACAACUUUACUUAUCAACAAAUUGACAUUCAUUGACCCAAAUAUUUUGAUCAACGAACCAAGUUACCCUAGGGAUAACAGCGCAAUCCACUUCAAGAGCCCAUAUCGACAAGUGGGCUUACGACCUCGAUGUUGGAUCAGGGUAUCCUAGUGGUGCAGCCGCUACUAAAGGUUCGUUUGUUCAACGAUU
RNAcentral lists this ribosomal RNA (514 nucleotides) under Pristimantis cerasinus. Its description in RNAcentral is "partial large subunit ribosomal RNA". It matches the Rfam family "Bacterial large subunit ribosomal RNA", at positions 1920 to 2589 of the family's 2925-position model. Lineage: Eukaryota; Metazoa; Chordata; Amphibia; Anura; Strabomantidae. The record is from RNAcentral.